This 376-nucleotide long non-coding RNA is filed under the name Populus trichocarpa (black cottonwood). RNAcentral's name for it is "long non-coding RNA (PTRI_LNC002478)". Lineage: Eukaryota; Viridiplantae; Streptophyta; Magnoliopsida; Malpighiales; Salicaceae. The record is from RNAcentral.
AGUGUUGUUCGUGGGAGUAGUUGUUUUAGCCACUCCCUCUUUCGCAGAUUACUACAAACCGCCUAAGUAUGAGCCUAAGCCACCUUAUUUCAAGCCUCCUAAGGUAGAGAAGCCAUUCCCAGAACACAAGCCUCCAGUCUACAAGCCACCAAAGAUUGAGAAGCCACCAGUCUACAAGCCACCACCAGUCUACAAGCCACCAAUUGAGAAGCCACCAGUCUACAAGCCACCACCAGUCUACAAGCCACCAAUUGAGAAGCCACCAGUCUACAAGCCACCACCAGUCUACAAGCCACCAAUUGAGAAGCCACCAGUCUACAAGCCACCACCAGUCUACAAGCCACCAAUUGAGAAGCCACCAGUCUACAAGCCACCA